GAGUUUGAUCGUGGCUCAGAUUGAACGCUGGCGGAAUGCUUUACACGUGCAAGUCGAGCGGCAGCGCGGGGCAACCUGGCGGCGAGCGGCGAACGGGUGAGUAAUGCAUCGGAACGUGUCCAUGUCGUGGGGGAUAGCCCGGCGAAAGCCGGAUUAAUACCGCAUACGCCCGAGAGGGGAAAGUGGGGGACCGCAAGGCCUCACGCGAUUGGGUCGGCCGAUGUCCGAUUAGCUAGUUGGCGGGGUAAAGGCCCACCAAGGCGAUGAUCGGUAGCUGGUCUGAGAGGAUGAUCAGCCACACUGGGACUGAGACACGGCCCAGACUCCUACGGGAGGCAGCAGUGGGGAAUUUUGGACAAUGGGGGCAACCCUGAUCCAGCCAUUCCGCGUGAGUGAAGAAGGCCUUCGGUUGUAAGCUCUUUGUUCCGGAACGAACGGUAGCGUGAACAUCGCUGCCUACUGACGGUACCGGAAGAAUAAGCACCGGCUAACUACGUGCCAGCAGCCGCGGUAAG
Molecule: ribosomal RNA, 515 nt
Filed under: uncultured beta proteobacterium
Lineage: Bacteria; Pseudomonadati; Pseudomonadota; Betaproteobacteria
Description: bacterial SSU rRNA
Rfam family: Bacterial small subunit ribosomal RNA
Source: RNAcentral